This is a long non-coding RNA of Hemicordylus capensis (graceful crag lizard), 1738 nucleotides long. RefSeq lists it as uncharacterized. NCBI's taxonomy places the organism in Eukaryota, Metazoa, Chordata, Lepidosauria, Squamata, Cordylidae. The transcript has 2 exons. The record is from RefSeq and is a predicted model, not a curated record.
CAGUGACAUAGCAGAGUAGACUGAGAAUGGAGUUCUCUGUGAGAGGCCUACUGCACAAGCAAAGAGUGGUAUGAAGUAGCAAAGAACAUCAUACAGCAUCAUCUUGCGGGAUCUCAGAUGAGGCUCAAAUAUUUGGACAGCAGUCAGUCAACAAACUUUAGCACUUCAGUUCCAGCCAUAUUUACAUCUGGAAACCAUGAAUUUCCCUUCAAAUGUUGACUAUAGCAUCAAAGAUGUCAGGAGUUCACAGUUGUGUUCUGAUGUGACUCUUGAGGCUGUUGGAAUUGACUGGGGUGAAAGCAUAAAAAUAAAAAUUCUACUAAUCAGCCUACUUUCUCUGUCUCUACAACUGGACUAAAUUUGGUUCAAAUUGAGGUCUACAAGUUAGUUCUCUUGCACCUCAGGUGUUCACACGUCCGCCAUCUUGAAUCAGGGUGGAUGACAUUGUCACAAACUGCCAUUGAGGUGUCCCUGUGUGUCAUUCACUACAACUACAGCUAAUUUGGUUCAAAUUGGUUAGUCAGCCCACUUGUGGCUCAAACAUUCAUGUGUCUGCCAUCUUGAUUUGGGGUAGAUGACAUAAUCAUCUAUGCCAUUGAGGUUUCUCCAUGUGCCCCUACAGCUGUAGUGAAUUUGGUUUGGUGUCUCUACAGUUGUACCCGAUUUGGUUCAUAUUGGUUCAGGUGUUGAAAAGUUGAUGGGGUGCGGGGGACAGGACACACACAGAGUGCUGGGUGAACUCAAGCCUUUUUAAAUAGUUCUUUUCUUGAUAAAGGAACAAUUUCCUCACUAAAGACAUGAAAUAGUGCCCUAAAAUGUCUUGUGAAUUUAUUUUCUUUGGAAAUUUGAAAUGGGGUGGGGAAACAGAAUGUUACUGCAUCAGUUAUGUCUUCAUGGUAGGGUAUGCUGAUGCUGUUAAAAUGGCACUUGUAAAUCUCUACAACUAUUGUGCCAUUGUAUAUAUGUAUUGUAGCUACAUUAUAAUUUAGUCUUCAUUGCCUUAUUAGCACUUGGGGAGAAAUGCUGGGAAAUAUACUCAACAAAUGUGUUUCCACAACAGGGAGUUUACAUGUCAAUUCAGUGAAGUCACUGUGGGCCACUGUGUGAAACAGGAUGCUGGACUAGAUGGGCCUGAUCCAGCAGGGCUGUUAUGUUCACUUCAGUGAACUUCCACUGAACUGGAAGGGCUUGCUCUUAUAUUUUGCAUGUUAGGACACCUUUUAACACAAAAUGGCAUUAGUUUUAGCCAUAUAACAAAAGUUAGAGGUGGGUGCUUUGAAGUCUGAUUUGGCAAGUCUCAAUAAAAUUGCCUGAAAACUACAGAAACUGCAGUUGGUACAAAAUAAGGCUGCAGGAUUAACUUGGGCUGGGCAUUUUGAGCAUAUCACACCAGUGCUUCAUCAGUUGCGCUGGGUCCCAGUCUGUUUCCAGCCCCAAUUCAAAGUGCUGGUUUUAACCUUAAAAGGACUUGGGAGGGGGUUACCUGAAAGAGCACCUUGCCCCAUAGGUCCUAACCCAUACCUUGAGGCCAUCUUUGGGGACCGUGCUCCAACUGCCCCUGCCAAACAAGGUGAGGCGGGUGGCUAUUGGGGAGCCUUUUCAGUGGUGGCACUGGAUGGAAUAGCCUCCCCAAUGAGGCUCUUCUGGCACUUUGUUCUUAGAGACAUUGAGGACCUUUCUGUAUGCCCAGGCUUUCAAAUUUGAUUUUUGGAAUGGAUUAAAAACAAUUUUUUGGAAA